UACAGAGGCCCCGAGCGUUAGGCGGAAUCACUGGGCUUAAAGCGUGUGUAGGUGGAUGCCUAAGUACCUUGUGAAAUCCCACGGCUUAACCGUGGAAUUGCUGGGUAUACUGGGUGUCUUGAGCCACUCAGGGGCUACCGGAACAAAUGGUGGAGCGGUGAAAUGCGUAGAUAUCAUUUGGAACGCCAAUGGUGAAAACAGGUAGCUGGGGGUGUGCUGACACUGAGACACGAAAGCCAGGGAGCAAACGGG
This 252-nucleotide ribosomal RNA is filed under the name uncultured bacterium. Its description in RNAcentral is "partial 16S ribosomal RNA". It matches the Rfam family "Bacterial small subunit ribosomal RNA", at positions 524 to 776 of the family's 1533-position model. The record is from RNAcentral.